This 23-nucleotide non-coding RNA is filed under the name Arabidopsis thaliana (thale cress). Lineage: Eukaryota; Viridiplantae; Streptophyta; Magnoliopsida; Brassicales; Brassicaceae. The record is from RNAcentral.
CCAUUCUAACUCAGGUCCAUGGA